AUGGCCGGCCUCGUGUCCCGGCCGCGCCGGAGCGUGCAGAUGUACUGGGCGCGGAGGAACUACCAGCGCCUCGGCGGCGGCGGCUCGCCGUCGCGGCGCAGCCUCAGGGUGGCCCGCCUCGGCGGCGCGGCCGGGAGCAGGACGCGGACGACGCCAGCAGGCGCCGUGCAGCGGCGUCUGCGGUGGCUGGCCGGCGUGGCCAGGCUGCGCGCGGCCGCGCUGCUGUCGCCGGUGCGCCUGCUCGCGAGGCUGCGGGACGCGUACGUCGACGCGAUGCUGGCGCUGGCCGGGGGCGCCGGGCGGCCGUGCGCGGCGCUGGCGACGAAGCCCCGGGAGCAGGGCGAGCUGUGGGCGAAGCGGGUGCCCCGGGCGCGGUCGACCGGCGGCGGCGACUUCGAGCGGCGGAUGAUGGCGCACAUCUACAGCGCGCUCGUCACGCCGGAGCUGCCCGGCGCCGCGCACGGCACGGCCUAA
This 474-nucleotide ribosomal RNA is filed under the name Triticum aestivum (bread wheat). Its description in RNAcentral is "partial small subunit ribosomal RNA". Lineage: Eukaryota; Viridiplantae; Streptophyta; Magnoliopsida; Poales; Poaceae. The record is from RNAcentral.